GACGAACGCUGGCGGCGUGCUUAACACAUGCAAGUCGAACGGAAAGGCCCUGCUUUUGUGGGGUGCUCGAGUGGCGAACGGGUGAGUAACACGUGAGUAACCUGCCCUUGACUUUGGGAUAACUUCAGGAAACUGGGGCUAAUACCGGAUAGGAGCUCCUGCUGCAUGGUGGUGGUUGGAAAGUUUCGGCGGUUGGGGAUGUACUCGCGGCUUAUCAGCUUGUUGGUGAGGUAGUGGCUUACCAAGGCUUUGACGGGUAGCCGGCCUGAGAGGGUGACCGGCCACAUUGGGACUGAGAUACGGCCCAGACUCCUACGGGAGGCAGCAGUGGGGAAUAUUGCACAAUGGGCGGAAGCCUGAUGCAGCAACGCCGCGUGCGGGAUGACGGCCUUCGGGUUGUAAACCGCUUUCGAAUGUGACGAAGCGUGAGUGACGGUAAUGGGUAAAGAAGCACCGGCUAACUACGUG
RNAcentral lists this ribosomal RNA (468 nucleotides) under uncultured bacterium. RNAcentral's name for it is "partial 16S ribosomal RNA". It matches the Rfam family "Bacterial small subunit ribosomal RNA", at positions 28 to 507 of the family's 1533-position model. The record is from RNAcentral.